Dreissena polymorpha is the source of this 372-nucleotide long non-coding RNA. RefSeq lists it as uncharacterized. The transcript has 4 exons. The record is from RefSeq and is a predicted model, not a curated record. NCBI's taxonomy places the organism in Eukaryota, Metazoa, Mollusca, Bivalvia, Myida, Dreissenidae.
ACAAACAACAACAACAAUUUGGCUGUAACACUUGAGAAGUUUAUUGAUUACAAAGUCACUAAUGAACUAUGAGUGAAGACCUGUAUGAGUAUGAUUCUGAAGGAACUGGUGGCAGUGAUGCAGUUAUAGAGAUUUCAGAUUCGGACGAAACUUUGCCGCCAUCUGACAAAGAAACACAGCCACCUCUGGAGGAAUGUGGUCAGGAAGUUGAAUGGUCCCAGUCACCAUUAGGAUAUUUUGAUUAUUAUUUUUAUAUUCCAUCCUAUGGUGAUCGGAGACUAAGAAAACAGUGUAGACAAAUGAGGUAUUAUUGAUAUAUUUAGUGUAUAUUAUUUACAUUAGUAUUUUCACAGUCCCAAUUUUCGAAUUAUG